RNAcentral lists this unclassified non-coding RNA (917 nucleotides) under Hevea brasiliensis (rubber tree). The record is from RNAcentral. Lineage: Eukaryota; Viridiplantae; Streptophyta; Magnoliopsida; Malpighiales; Euphorbiaceae.
GAUUAAGGCUUAGUUGUUGUUGUGUUGUUGUUGUUGUUUGUGAAUGUUAGGACAUAUUGAGGAUCAUCAACAAUCUUUUUUUUCUUAUAGUUAAUUGAUUCAUAUUUGGGUUGCUUGUUUGCUGAGAUAAAAGGGGAUGCUAGCAGAAAGGUUUUGUGGAUAGAAGAAAGCCUUCUUGGUAUAAUUGGAGAUUUUGGCAGUUUAUUCUGGAGAUCAUGUGAAUUUGGAAUCAUAAUUAUGAUCAAUAUUAUUUCAGGGAGAGUAGAAGAAUCUGGUGACUGUAUAUCACUAUAUUGUUUUGUUGCCUGCAAAUCCGUUUGAUGGCCUAAAAGGAAAUGUUUCUGCUUAUUUUGGGUAUUCUUUUUGGGUAUCACAUCAUUGCUAAAAUGUGUUGAGCUGAAUUAGUAAGUUGAAUGAGAUGACAUUGAACCCUGAAGAUAGUGAAUUACUUGUAGAUCAAGUUGUUGGUAGAUAAUUGAUUAGUAAUUUCUUUACCUGACAUGCAAACAAGUAGUCUGUUGAUUGCUCUGACGAAGGCUGAUAUGCUGUUGAUUGUAUCGCUGCUUAAUGGCCAUCUCUGAUUGAACAUUUUUAUUCAUUACAGUUUCGGGGGCUUUGGUAGAUUAGAAUUGUAAUAGUGCCAGGUGCUAAGUUGUUUUACUCUAUUGAAUUAUUUUUAUAUUCUGAUCCGGUUUGCAAUAUAAUGGUGUGAUGUUUGUAGAUGUAACAAUUUAUUUAAUUUUUAGUGUUGUAAUAGCUUUUAUUUGAAUGAGAUGCCUGUCAAACUCAUUAGUUCAUAGGGCAUUUUGUUUCACUAUUGUUCUCUUGGCCGUGUUCCGUCUUUGGUAGUGUUCAUCAGCACUAAAUGAUAGUUUCUUUCUAAUGUUUUGGAACAGAAAAGGGAGGCUCCACCUGGU